AUAGUGGUGGCUUAGCGCCGUGGACCCACCCGGUCUCAUUCCGAACCCGGAAGUUAAACGCGGUUGCGCCGAUGAUACUUGACGCAAAUUGGGGAAAGUAGGUAGCUGCCACGAU
RNAcentral lists this ribosomal RNA (115 nucleotides) under Parcubacteria group bacterium GW2011_GWA2_47_7. The record is from RNAcentral.